This 7652-nucleotide long non-coding RNA is filed under the name Sorghum bicolor (sorghum). Its description in RNAcentral is "long non-coding RNA (SBIC_LNC015486)". The record is from RNAcentral. Lineage: Eukaryota; Viridiplantae; Streptophyta; Magnoliopsida; Poales; Poaceae.
UCAUUAGCAAUGGCAAAUUUGCAAUGUUCUCUAAAUUUCAAUGUACUUGUGUUUAACCUAUGCGGUUGCAUGCACCCUGCCACAUAUAUGCAUGCUCUCAUGGUUUAUUAUAGUUGGUCUAUAUGUUAAGGACGAGGUGUAACACCCCAAAAAUUGUUUCCUCGGAAAUAGAGCUAAAACGAUUUAAUUUUGUAUUUUUGUGUUCAUGGAAUAUAUAGAAAUAAUAUUUUUUCAUUAAAUUAAAAUUUAUUAUAGGAUUUAGCAACUUGUUUGUGCAAUCAUUUUUGGGGCAUUUGUUUUAUUGUUUGGUGUGGAUUUAACUAAAGAUCAAAACAUUUCAAACAGAUUUAAAAAGGAUUUUGAAAUAAGUUUGAAAUGGCUUUUAUAUAAAAUAAAACAAAAGAAAAGAAAAAAAAGAGAAAAAAGGAAACAUCUCCCUCCAUUUGUUUUUGGCCCGAGAGGCCCAACCAAAUCCCCCCCUCUCUCCUCUUCCCUUGCCCCCCCCCCCGCCCAGUUUCCCCGCGGCUCAACUCCUCCCCAGCGCGGCACGACCCACUUUUCCCCAGCCCAGAGCGCACAUCCCUCUCUCCCCUGGCUGACGAGCGGGUCCACGCCACCAGUCACCGACAGGUUGGCCCCACCCGUCAGUGUCAUCUCCCUUCUUUCCUUCUUCCUCCCUAUCUCGCAUACGAGCCGGACUCUGGGGAGAGUAUCUCGGUCUCGAUUCCUUGUGUUUUGGGUUUGUGCCUUGCGCUGAGCCCCUUUAUGAGCUUUCCGCACACGUCCACUGGUGCCCUAUGAAACCCAAGUGUGCCACCACCUUGCUUGUAGGGCGCCGACAUCGUCUUUUGGAUCACGCCGAGGAGUACAACGCCGCUAGGUCAUCUCGUCGCUUCUUUGAACCCGUGAGUCCUCGGUCGAGCUUCACAUCGACUUUGCGAAGCCCCCGGACCCCUUUCCCCCUCAUUCUUUGCUUUGGUUUAAUCUAAUUUGAGCGCCGAACCCUCUGCAGGCGCACUGAGCCGCCACCCCGCGUGGUCUCAUCUCUUUGAGCUGUCCCCGUCCUUUAUCUUGGUCUUGGUGAGUUCGAGACGCCCCUCUCUUGCUCCCCAUGCUCUCAGAUUUGAGAUUGGUGCUCUAGAAUGCCGUCCCAACGAACUCUAGUGAGGCUCCGAGCUUUCCGGCCAUGGCACCACCGGCCGGAGCUACUGCGGCCGGCCGGCACUCUCUCUCCCUCUCCGUGCAACGUUUCUCAGCCGUCGGAUCCGAGAUCAAGGGACAGGAAAGAAAGAUACCCCUCAGUUUUCUUGAGAUUAGAGCCCGCGGUCCAUGACGCGUUUCCGAAAGUACGCUUUGUCCUUUUGAAAGCGUAAACCGUUCAGUUUAGGUUCAAAAUACGUUUUCUGAAUUUACAGUUUUGCCACUAGUAUUAUUUUAGCCAUAAAAUGUUCGUUUUAAUUCCGUUUUGACCCAUUCAAAUUGCGUUAGGUUCGUAUUAAUGACCUUUACAUGUUAGUAAAAUUGUUUACUCAGUUUGAAACCUUUUUAAUUUUGUGACCUUAAUUAAUUAAUUAUUCUUCUAUAGGAAAAUUUAGAAAAUUCAUAACUUCUACGUUUUAACUUUGAUUUUCGCGAUCUUUGCGUCUAUGAAAUCGUAGCGAUGCGUAGUUAUUUUAUAAACUUUUCAUACUGUUUUUAUAUGAUUGGUGUACUGUUCUAAUUGUAGCCUUGUUUGCUUAGUGUAUGUUUUCUCUGUUUGUUUGUGUGAUCGAUGAUCGAGUUUAGCCGGUAAACAAUUCGUGGUGAUCAAGAGUGCUUCAGUGAUCAAGAUCAGAGCCUUGGACAAGUGAGACCAACAGAACCAAAAGGGAUAAGCAAGAGCAUUUGGAUCAUGGCAAGUAUAGCAUUUGGAUUUUAUUUCUGUGACCAUGAUCCUGUGACUAGAUUAAUAUUAAGUAAUAAACGAUAAAAAUGACUUUUUAGCAACUUGAUGAUUUGUCUGUACGUGAUCACCCGGGACAACAGUGCAACCAUGAGGGCUAUAAUGGCUCUGGCUUUAGCUCAGUAUGAAGACCUUGACUAGCUUGUUAGAGGUUACCCGAAAGGGCGGAGGGGCUGAACCGUUUUGGGUAUAGUGUGGCCUCUGUCUGUAUGUGUAUAGGCUGCGCGUCAUUGUGCCAUCGGAAGGGGGCUCUAUAUCUGCGCGCAAAGGAAACCUUGCGGAUGUUGACAUUCGUUAAGUGCAAUAAGAAUAAGAAAAAUUCCGCAAGCGCACAGAACAUUAUCGUAGCAUUUUACCGGGAGUAUUCCAGGUAUCGUUAUUUAUAUUUUACCACUGGGAAGCUAAGGUCAAAGAAUUUGAUAACUUACUAUCAUGCAUCUACUAAUUUAAUAAACCAACUAGACUAAAGUAGGGGCUACGAUAAAUGCGUAGAUAGCCAUAGCGGUAGGACAACGGGAGAGACCUAGGUUCCUGUAUACUUCUCUAUUACUUCAGUUCUAUGAUAACAAAGAAUGAAUAGAUAUAACAAUCACAUAUUAGCACUUUGGGACAUCAGAACACCAACCACAGAAAGAGAUGAGAAGGGGGCUGGGAAGCUCUGACUACGGUCCUACAAACACCGAUCCGAACGAGGUGGAAUACGUCGACCUUUAGGGCUGUCACUACCCUAGGGCUACCACAACAAUCCGUAGUACUGGGUGCAACCUCAGGUAACCUCUAGUAUAGACACCACGUCUACACUAACGAUUACUACUCUAAUUACCAUGAAUAACUAGAGCACUCGAUGCGAACGGAGAUCCUAUGCCAAAAUAUAACAACUACACUACUCGAUAAUAAUAAAGUCAUAAAAGUAAAUAGAGAAGAUAAAUAUAUUAAAGCAUAAGUCUUACAAUAAAUAUAAAGACAUAUCAAAACUCUGAAGACUUCUCCAGAACCAGAGCGCAGCUCCGCUCUCCCUAACUCCCGACUAGAACCCAUCUACUACAUUGGAAUGUCUAGCCCUAAUUCUCUAUAGAGGAAAUGUUAUCCUUCGAGGGCACCUCUCAACUCUAUAAUGAUAUGUUCUCCUCCAGGGGCCAGGGGCCUUGCUUAUAUAGUCCUCCUCCUUUGUGCGUUUUUGGUUCAGCAGGCGAUGUGGUACUAAACUUUCCACCAUAUCUCAUUAAAAUGAACAUAGGCCUUAAUGGACCAAAAUCUGAUUUGGGCCCAAUUAAUCCCACAGCUCUUUUAUGUGGAGUCCUUCUUUUAUUAAUAUCUCUUGAUUCCGAACUCCAAAUAUAGCAAAUAAUAUAUGCAUUUCGAUCAGCUCGACGAGAUCUUUGUAAUGGUGUACUCCAUUCUGUGAUUGGUGCUUGUACCAGGCUGGGCGCCCUAGGAUCAAGGGCGGGCGCCCUGGUCCCAGGCCCGUCUCGGCUCCGCUUCGGUCGAGUUGCUUCUAGAGUCUUCCUGAUUAUGGAGAAUUACCGCACACACUAAUUCUCUAUGUAAACCCGAUGUGUGGGCCUUUCCUUCGUAUUUCCUGAUAACCCCCUGCAGAAAUAGACAAACACCAAAACUCGUGGAAAUCUGUCAGAUGAAACCCUAAGUCUAGGUGUCGGUUGCAUUUGGAUCCUUUUUCAUGAUUAGUUGACGGUUAAAUAUGGGCUUUAAGGACCGUCAACAGUGGCCCUAACAUGUUAGACGAACUUUUGAAAGGCUUCAUAGUGAUCCCUGCCGACCUUCCUUGGUAGUGGGUUAAGAGGUCGACGGGCCUCGGGCGAAAGGGUAAAUCAUGACUCAUGGGUAAAGAUGUACAACCUCUGCAGAGUGUUAAAACUAGUAUACUAGCCGAGCUCACGGUCAGGAGCGGCCUUGGGGACAUCUACAUUAAGGGCGAUGAAUCUUGUGUGUUAAGUAUACUCAUUGUUUAUUGUUUAAUGCUCUACAUUAUUUAUGUCACAUUGAUCAUGAGAUUGUGGGAUAUAUACAAUCUAGUUGCUAUACUUGUUGAGUUCGACAUGGACUCACUCUUGCUAUUUCCCCCACACUUCAGGAGAUGUUUUAGGCUUGUGAUCAACCAGUCAGUUGGAUCCUGUAGAGAGAAGUUAAUACCCGAAGUUCGGAGUUGUCUAUCCGUUGUUUGGUAUCAAAGGUUAUAUCUUUUAUAUUAAGUACGUUAUAUAUUUAUGCAUUGUCUUUUGAUAUUACCCUUUAUUUGUAGCUAUAUGUGGGAUUUGACUUCUAAAACUCACAUAUGGUGCGUAUCUGAUUUUAUCCUUAAAAUCGGGUAUUACAAAGUGGUAUCAAAGCAAUGCUGGCUGUAGGACGCAAGCCUAGUUAGAAAUUGGUCGUCUUAAGGUUUUAGAAAUUAUUAUAGCACCCUUGCUCUAUAAACCUUGGUAUUUUCCUCUAUACUAUAUCUCUACCCUUGCUAUUCCUCUCUACCUUGUUGCUUAUUUUAAAAGUAUACUUGUUCUCAUCUUCACUCCUUGAUUUGAUAAGCUUUUAGAGUCUUCUCUUACCACCUGCUUACGUAGUUGAAAAAUAAUUUUAGGAUCUUUACCCUUAUUAUGAAGAAAACGAUAGUAUCGCAAGUUGAGUGAAGUGUGAACCCUCAAUGCUUAAUUGGUUUGUUAUUAUGUUUAUGCUUGAUUUCGAUCUUUGUAAUGAUUGCAAUGAACUUGUGGAUUUUCUUCAUAAUUUCAUUUAGUUUAUAGGCCUAAGGCAUAAGGAUUAAUGAAAUACGUAGUUGGGUUUGGCUAUCUCUUGUUUAUAUCCCUUGCUGAUUUCUGGAACAGUCUGUGAUGCUUCUAGUGUAUCUCAAGUUUUGUUCAUGCAAAGUCUAUCAACUUUUUCUAGAAACAACUAGACUUCAAUAUCUUUCUAUGACCGCAAGAAUCACCCUCAUAGCUAUUAUGAUUCGGAAGUUACAAAAAUCACAAUAUGAUACAGAUGGGCUGUCAAGAAUCUGGACCAGUUUCGGUUGCUUACUGUUUAGACAUAUAUAACUAUAUAAUUUGGAAAAAUAUUCUAUAGAAAAGUUGUAGACGAUUUGCUAAUCUUUCCAACGGUAUAAGCUGAAACUUAUUUGGAUAAGUAGAACCUGAGAUAUGAUAUUUACAUCUGGAUGUUUCUGUUCUAUUUCAAAAUCUGGACAGAUCUGGUAUUCCCUAUUUUCAGAUACCUUAACGUCAGAAUCUGGGAAAAAGUUGUAUACAAAAGUUGUAGAGGAUUUUCUAAGAUUUUCAAAUAUGUAAGGAUCAUCUCCAGAUGAGUUAAGUAGCUCGGGAUAUAACUUCUAGAAGCUGCUGCACCUUUGCUGAGACAUUUUGAGGAUGGAUAUUAAGUUUGGUUGUUUUACCUAAGCUUAAAGACAGAAUCUAAGGAGGUCUUCUACAGGAAAGUUUCUGGGAAUUUCAUAAUUUUUCUAACGGUAUAAGCCACAACUCUAUUGAAUUCAUAGAAUAAGAGUUAUGUCCAUUUUACUACGCUGGUGUUUUUCAUAUCGCGAGGAAAUUUCAGGAUACCUGUUUGCUCUAUUGUACAUAAGUUCUUUGGAAUGUCAGAGGUUCUCAAUGUUAGUUAACUUGUCUGGAAAAUAUGCAAGCUAACUUUCUUGUGUCCCCUAGUUGACCCUUUUAAGGGGGUAGCCCAAUUAAAGGAGUUACAAUGAGACGGAUUGGCUAGUGUUGGAUCAUAUGUGAGGAUCACAGCGCUUGGUAAAUUGGUUUUGAUUCAAGAUAUCAUCCCAUUCAGAGAAUAUUAAUGGAGAUAUAUGUCAUUGCUGAUACUCAUGGAUUGAGAGUUAUGGUUAUGAGGAUCAGAUGACACAAAAGGUUAUGAAGUGAUAUGUACAGUAUGAGAGUGAAACAACUUAACCGUGAUAAAUGUACCGAUAAUUGGAACUUAGUGAUGAAACUAACCUUGGAUCAAGAGACUCGAUACAACGAAUGUAAAAGACUAUGAUGUGUAGCGUCCAAAAAGGAUAGGAGAACUAGUCCUUGGUGUCCCCCAAUCAAUCUCAUUCUAAGGGGGGUAGCACCUUGAUAUUACGGAAUGAUGCAUUAUAAAACUAUCUUGAAGUGAUAAUUGUCGUCUCGAGAUAUUCUAUUGUUAUGAUCAACUAUCCUUGCCAUGUUACUAACAUUGGUCAAUCGAUGACAGGGAGUGUAGUGUCCCAUGGAUAGGUGGGAAGAGUAUGAUCUUCUUGUCUUUGAGGAAAGAUGUUAUGAGUAUGACAAGUUGAGUGUUAUCAAAAUAAUAAUACAGAAGAGCAAGUUGACAUUGAAUCAAAUCAGAAUCCACAACGAGGAGGCCUUUGAUAGUUCAAACCCCAAUGGGAGAAAAUACAGGCAGAUCAGGUUUGCUCAAAUAUCAGUCUUGUCAUAAGCAAGGAAAACUUCACUGUAAACCUCAUUAUGCUAGAGUCACUCGAUAUUCCCUUGGUUCUUGGCAAUGGAUGGUUAUGUGCACAUAAAGGAGUGAUCUAUGCUACCCAGUGGAAAAAUUUUCUUAACUGCACAUCAGGGAAAAGAAUUGAGUAGCAGGGUGGUCCACUCCUACCUAAGGAGGCACAUCCAUGCUAACUUAUCAUGUCUUUGAGUUGUAUAAGUCAGAAAGUUGGUAGUCAAGAUGGACCUUGAUCAAAUACGAAUAAUAGACAUUCUAUGGAAACCUUGAUUCACAAGUUGUGAUCUCGAGACAUAAGUGCUUGCAUUUGGAAUACAAGUUGUGAAGUUGAAAUAGUGAUCAAUAUCUUGUUCUUGUUUUCUCUUCUGGAAUCCGAGCCUCUUCCGAAUCUCGAGGACGAGAUUCAUUUUAAGGGGGGUAGAUUUGUAACACCCUAAAAAUUGUUUUCUCGGAAAUAGAGCUAAAAUGAUUUAAUUUUGUAUUUUUAUGUUCAUGGAAUAUAUAGAAAUAAUAUUUUUUUCAUUAAAUUAAAAUUUAUUAUAGGAUUUAGCAACUUGUUUGUGCAUUCAUUUUUGGGGCAUUUGUUUUAUUGUUUGGUGUGGAUUUAACUAAAGAUCAAAACAUUUCAAACAGAUCUAAAAAGGAUUUUGAAAUAAGUUUGAAAUGGCUUUUAUAUAAAAGAAAACAAAACAAAAGGAAAACAAAGAGAAAAAAGGAAUCAUCUCCCUCCAUUUGUUUUUGGCCCGAGAGGCCCAACCAAAUCCCCCCUCUCUCCUCUUCCCCUGCCCCCCCCCCCCCCGCGCUCGGCCCAGUUUCCCCGCGGCCCAACUCCUCCCUAGCGCGGCACGGCCCACUUUUCCCCAGCCCAGAGCGCACGUCCCUCUCUCCCCUGGCUGACGAGCGGGUCCACGCCACCAGUCACCGACAGGUUGGCCCCACCCGUCAGUGUCAUCUCCCUUCUUUCCUUCUUCCUCCCUAACUCGCAUACGAGCCGAACUCUGGGGAGAGUAUCUCAGUCUCGAUUCCUUGCGUUUUGGGUUUGUGCCUUGCGCUGAGCCCCUUUAUGAGCUUUCCGCACACGUCCACUGGUGCCCUAUGAAACCCAAGUGUGCCACAACCUUGCUUGUAGGGCGCCGACAUCGUCUUUUGGAUCACGCCGAGGAGUACAACGCCGCUAGGUCAUCUCGUCGCUUCUUUGAACCCGUGAGUCCUCGGUCGAGCUUCACAUCGACUUUGCGAAGCCCCCGGACCCCUUUCCCCC